UGGGCAACCUGCCCCUAGCUCUGGGAUAACUGCGGGAAACUGUAGCUAAUACCGGAUGUGACACGAGACUGCAUGGUCUUCGUGUGGAAAGAUUUAUCGGCUAGGGAUGGGCCCGCGGCCUAUCAGCUUGUUGGUGGGGUAAUGGCCUACCAAGGCGACGACGGGUAGCCGGCCUGAGAGGGCGACCGGCCACACUGGGACUGAGACACGGCCCAGACCUCCGUACGGGGAGCA
This 234-nucleotide ribosomal RNA is filed under the name uncultured bacterium. RNAcentral's name for it is "partial 16S ribosomal RNA". It matches the Rfam family "Bacterial small subunit ribosomal RNA", at positions 118 to 350 of the family's 1533-position model. The record is from RNAcentral.